RNAcentral lists this ribosomal RNA (253 nucleotides) under uncultured bacterium. RNAcentral's name for it is "partial 16S ribosomal RNA". It matches the Rfam family "Bacterial small subunit ribosomal RNA", at positions 524 to 776 of the family's 1533-position model. The record is from RNAcentral.
UACGUAGGGUCCGAGCAUUGUCCGGAAUUAUUGGGCGUAAAGAGCUCGUAGGCGGUCUGUUGCGUCGGCUGUGAAAACCCGGGGCUCAACUCCGGGCCUGCAGUCGAUACGGGCAGACUAGAGUUCGGUAGGGGAGACUGGAAUUCCUGGUGUAGCGGUGAAAUGCGCAGAUAUCAGGAGGAACACCGGUGGCGAAGGCGGCUUGCUGGGCCUUACCUGACGCUGAGGAGCGAAAGCGUGGGGAGCGAACAGG